This 69-nucleotide transfer RNA is filed under the name Trigonostigma heteromorpha (harlequin rasbora). Its description in RNAcentral is "tRNA-Arg". It matches the Rfam family "tRNA". From Rfam's summary of the family: Transfer RNA (tRNA) molecules are approximately 80 nucleotides in length. Their secondary structure includes four short double-helical elements and three loops (D, anti-codon, and T loops). Further hydrogen bonds mediate the characteristic L-shaped molecular structure. tRNAs have two regions of fundamental functional importance: the anti-codon, which is responsible for specific mRNA codon recognition, and the 3' end, to which the tRNAs corresponding amino acid is attached (by aminoacyl-tRNA synthetases). tRNAs cope with the degeneracy of the genetic code in two manners: having more than one tRNA (with a specific anti-codon) for a particular amino acid; and 'wobble' base-pairing, i.e. permitting non-standard base-pairing at the 3rd anti-codon position. Lineage: Eukaryota; Metazoa; Chordata; Actinopteri; Cypriniformes; Danionidae. The record is from RNAcentral.
AGAGGGCUAGUCCAAAAAAGACCUCUGAUUUCGGCUCAGAAAAUCGUGGUUAGACCCCACGGCCCCCUU